UACGUAGGGGGCAAGCGUUGUCCGGAAUCAUUGGGCGUAAAGAGCGUGUAGGCGGCUUGGUAAGUCCGCUGUGAAAGUCCAGGGCUCAACCCUGGAAUGCCGGUGGAAACUGUCAGGCUCGAGUCCGGAAGAGGCGAGUGGAAUUCCUGGUGUAGCGGUGAAAUGCGCAGAUAUCAGGAGGAACACCAAUGGCGAAGGCAGCUCGCUGGGACGGUACUGACGCUGAGACACGAAAGCGUGGGGAGCAAACAGG
RNAcentral lists this ribosomal RNA (253 nucleotides) under uncultured bacterium. RNAcentral's name for it is "partial 16S ribosomal RNA". It matches the Rfam family "Bacterial small subunit ribosomal RNA", at positions 524 to 776 of the family's 1533-position model. The record is from RNAcentral.